UACGUAGGUGGCAAGCGUUAUCCGGAAUUAUUGGGCGUAAAGCGCGCGCAGGUGGUUUCUUAAGUCUGAUGUGAAAGCCCACGGCUCAACCGUGGAGGGUCAUUGGAAACUGGGAGACUUGAGUGCAGGAGAGGAAAGUGGAAUUCCAAGUGUAGCGGUGAAAUGCGUAGAGAUUUGGAGGAACACCAGUGGCGAAGGCGACUUUCUGGCCUGUAACUGACACUGAGGCGCGAAAGCGUGGGGAGCAAACAGG
Molecule: ribosomal RNA, 253 nt
Filed under: uncultured bacterium
Lineage: Bacteria
Description: partial 16S ribosomal RNA
Rfam family: Bacterial small subunit ribosomal RNA
Source: RNAcentral